CCCUCAGGUUCGUCAUUUCAUAAGGUGAUUCAAAUUCAACUCAUAACCCGUCUUAAAAUGUCCAUUUUGAUAAUAUACUGAAUCACCAUAAUAAUAGUUUCCCCUAAACCGCUAAAUCAGGGAGACUAAGUUCCUCUAACUACGUGGUUUGCUACGAGGCGGUGUAGUUCUGACAGAAUUCACUAGAACUUCUCAAAAUGUCCAAGAUUGCAACCAUGCUCUGAUACCAACUGACAGACCCCGUCCCGAAGGAGGGCAUGCUGGCCGUCACGUGAGAGUGACGUAACCAUUUGCACAGUACGGAAGCUUUAAUUAUACAAUUUAUAAGUUGAUACACCCGAAGGUGAGUCCUAAUUUUGUCCAUUCUGUCAGAACACCGUCGAAUUCCUCGUAGUCACCACACCUUUGUGAUUCCUGAACCUGGAGGGGCGCAAACCAAAAUUGAGUGGGUCAGUAAAACAAAUCUUUUCAAAUCCAACUUUUCUCAAAACAUUGUAACCCCUCUCCGUAAAACUUGUAUACUUUCCCAUAAAUGUAAAAUAUAAAUAUACAUAUAUAUUCUCAAAACUUCAUUUUUUUACUAUCUCAACAUUAUCUCUUUAUCAAUCAUGCCAUGCCAUGUCUAAUUCAACAGUUAAGUAUGGAUGCAUCAACAAUAAUCAUAUCAGGUGCAAGAAAGUAAUCAACCGGAGGCCCUCUAAUAGCCUGUACGGUUGAACCUAGAGCUCAAAAUCUAUCACUCUCACUCUGCCGGAGUCACCUCUGUGACCUGUCCGGCCUUCUGCACACAAGUUACGCUCUAGUGCUUUCUCAUCAAUCAUCUGUGCACAUAAUCUAAGGUCACCCACCAGUCGAAAUCUCACUAACACUCUACGACUGGCCCGUCGCACCCACUCCGCGUGGACUGUGCGACCAGCAUCUACUUGGAUCCAAGGCGAGCGUGCGAUGCGGUGAAUACUAUAAGCACUAAACCAUGGUGCAGGAUUUGAGCUCAAUAUAUAUCAUCAUCAUCAUAACAGUAUUUAAAUACUCACCUGAUACUCACAUGUGCGUCCGCCGCACCAAUUCAUACAUAUGCAUCAUAUAUCAAUUCAUAUCAUUUCAUGCAUGGCAAUUCGAUUCACGUUUUUCAUAUAAUUCUAUAUACUUUUCGCAUACUUCUAUGCAUGGCAUUUCAACUAAUAUAUCUCAUAUACUUUUAUACAUUUUCAUUUAAAGCAUAAUUUCAUGCAUGGUAAUUUCUGGGAAACGGCAAGUAUAUAUGUAUACGGAAAACAAAACUGCCCACUCACCUGGAGUUCGCCCUACAACUCCCUAGCACAAUACGCCAAGGCGUCAUGACGAUCGCCGCCUAGAACAGUAAUCAAAUCCAACCUCAGAAUUCAUAUCGAUAGAAUGUAUAACUUAUAUAAAAUACGUCACUACGUUGAUCGAUCCGGAAGAUCUGCCACUCAGAUUUUAAAUCCAUAACUUCCAGAGGUCCAUAAUAUAUCUCUAGGAUAACAUCCUAAAAUUUCACUACCAUCCAACGGUCGGAUCAUCAAUUCACAUUUUCACCUAAUGCGAAAACUAUAAAACGUUAUUCGAACACCUAACCAACAAUCCUGUUUCCACCAGGAUACAAAUUCAUACCCAAAACCAGGUAGUCGUCUCAACCCCCUUGUCAGAAGGAAGAUUCCUUUGACUUGCAUAAUCCGAAACUUCUUUUCCAAACGGUUAAACCGUCACUUCGUUCCCUCAGGUUCGUCAUUUCAUAAGGUGAUUCAAAUUCAACUCAUAACCCGUCUUAAAAUGUCCAUUUUGAUAAUAUACUGAAUCACCAUAAUAAUAGUUUCCCCUAAACCGCUAAAUCAGGGAGACUAAGUUCCUCUAACUACGUGGUUUGCUACGAGGCGGUGUAGUUCUGACAGAAUUCACUAGAACUUCUCAAAAUGUCCAAGAUUGCAACCAUGCUCUGAUACCAACUGACAGACCCCGUCCCGAAGGAGGGCAUGCUGGCCGUCACGUGAGAGUGACGUAACCAUUUGC
Molecule: long non-coding RNA, 2028 nt
Filed under: Malus domestica (apple)
Lineage: Eukaryota; Viridiplantae; Streptophyta; Magnoliopsida; Rosales; Rosaceae
Description: long non-coding RNA (MDOM_LNC006734)
Source: RNAcentral